CCUGGUGGCUCAGACGGUAAAGUGUCUGCCUGCAAUGCGGGAGACCCAGGUUCGAUCCCUGGGUCAGGA
RNAcentral lists this transfer RNA (69 nucleotides) under Muntiacus reevesi (Reeves' muntjac). It matches the Rfam family "tRNA". Rfam says of the family: Transfer RNA (tRNA) molecules are approximately 80 nucleotides in length. Their secondary structure includes four short double-helical elements and three loops (D, anti-codon, and T loops). Further hydrogen bonds mediate the characteristic L-shaped molecular structure. tRNAs have two regions of fundamental functional importance: the anti-codon, which is responsible for specific mRNA codon recognition, and the 3' end, to which the tRNAs corresponding amino acid is attached (by aminoacyl-tRNA synthetases). tRNAs cope with the degeneracy of the genetic code in two manners: having more than one tRNA (with a specific anti-codon) for a particular amino acid; and 'wobble' base-pairing, i.e. permitting non-standard base-pairing at the 3rd anti-codon position. Lineage: Eukaryota; Metazoa; Chordata; Mammalia; Artiodactyla; Cervidae. RNAcentral also lists the same sequence under 4 other names. The record is from Rfam by way of RNAcentral.